GGCGUACGGGUGCGUAACGCGUAUGUAACCUACCCUAUACAGGGGGAUAGCCCGGAGAAAUCUGGAUUAAUACCCCAUGGCACUGCGAAUCAGCAUUGGUUUGCAUUUAAAGAUUUAUCGGUAUAGGAUGGACAUGCGUCUGAUUAGCUAGUUGGGGGUGUAACGGACCACCAAGGCGACGAUCAGUAGGGGUUCUGAGAGGAAGGUCCCCCACACUGGUACUGAGAUACGGGCCAGACUCCUACGGGAGGCAGCAGUAGGGAAUAUUGGGCAAUGGACGAGAGUCUGACCCAGCCAUGCCGCGUGCAGGAAGACGGCGUUCUGCGUUGUAAACUGCUUUUAUCUGGGAAGAAAAGGCCCAUGCGUGGGACAUUGCCGGUACCAGAUGAAUAAGCACCGGCUAACUCCGUGCCAGCAGCCGCGGUAAUACGGAGGGUGCAAGCGUUGUCCGGAUUUAUUGGGUUUAAAGGGUGCGUAGGCGGUUUAUUAAGUCAGUGGUGAAAGUUUUGGGCUCAACCCAGAAAUUGCCAUUGAUACUGUUAGACUUGAGUAUUGCAGGGGUACAUGGAAUUGAUGGUGUAGCGGUGAAAUGCAUAGAUACCAUCAGGAACACCGAUAGCGAAGGCAUUGUACUGGGCAGUUACUGACGCUGAUGCACGAAAGCAUGGGUAGCGAACAGGAUUAGAUACCCUGGUAGUCCAUGCCGUAAACGAUGAUUACUCGCUGUUAUGCUCUAGUAGUGUAGUGGCCAAGCGAAAGCGUUAAGUAAUCCACCUGGGGAGUACGCUCGCAAGGGUGAAA
RNAcentral lists this ribosomal RNA (801 nucleotides) under uncultured bacterium. RNAcentral describes it as "bacterial SSU rRNA". It matches the Rfam family "Bacterial small subunit ribosomal RNA", at positions 97 to 899 of the family's 1533-position model. The record is from RNAcentral.